GAUGAACGCUGGCGGCGUGCCUAAUACAUGCAAGUCGAACGCGAGCAGCAAUGCUCGAGUGGCGAACGGGUGAGUAAUACAUAAGUAACCUGCCCUAGACAGGGGGAUAACUGCUGGAAACGGCAGCUAAGACCGCAUAGGUAUGGACACUGCAUGGUGACCAUAUUAAAAGUGCCAAGGCACUGGUAGAGGAUGGACUUAUGGCGCAUUAGCUGGUUGGUGAGGUAACGGCUCACCAAGGCGACGAUGCGUAGCCGACCUGAGAGGGUGACCGGCCACACUGGGACUGAGACACGGCCCAGACUCCUACGGGAGGCACCAGUAGGGAAUUUUCGGCAAUGGGGGGAACCCUGACCGAGCAACGCCGCGUGAAGGAAGAAGGAAUUCGUUCUGUAAACUUCUGUUAUAAAGGAAGAACGGCGGAUAUAGGGAA
This 433-nucleotide ribosomal RNA is filed under the name uncultured bacterium. RNAcentral describes it as "bacterial SSU rRNA". It matches the Rfam family "Bacterial small subunit ribosomal RNA", at positions 28 to 465 of the family's 1533-position model. The record is from RNAcentral.